GGUUAACUCUAAUUUACUGCAUCUUUCAUUGAGUGCAAUCGCUGCUCUUCAAGAUGAAGUCAACCGAUUUCAACAACAGCAGCAGCAGUCUUUACCUCUAGGAUGCAGAGUUGAUAGACAAUCAAAGUAUACUAUUGUAGCUUUGGUUACUUCACCCUCUUGUACAAUUCAUCAUCUUCAACAAGGAGGAGAUUUGGUUUCAUCAGCAGACCUUAAGCAGAAGAACUUUCCCUUGUUUGAAUUCUUAUGCUCUAAAGGCAAUCCUUGUUUCUCCAUUCUUACAGCUGCAAUCACCCUCUUUUACAAUUGUUUUACAGAUCUCUCUUGCCUCAGA
This 334-nucleotide unclassified non-coding RNA is filed under the name Hevea brasiliensis (rubber tree). Lineage: Eukaryota; Viridiplantae; Streptophyta; Magnoliopsida; Malpighiales; Euphorbiaceae. The record is from RNAcentral.